UUAAACUAAAGAGUUUGAUCCUGGCUCAGAUUGAACGCUGGCGGCAUGCCUUACACAUGCAAGUCGAACGGCAGCACGGAGCUUGCUCUGGUGGCGAGUGGCGAACGGGUGAGUAAAAUAUCGGAACGUACCCAGGAGUGGGGGAUAACGUAGCGAAAGUUACGCUAAUACCG
This 173-nucleotide ribosomal RNA is filed under the name Duganella sacchari. Its description in RNAcentral is "16S rRNA. Bacterial SSU". It matches the Rfam family "Bacterial small subunit ribosomal RNA", at positions 1 to 171 of the family's 1533-position model. The record is from RNAcentral. Lineage: Bacteria; Pseudomonadati; Pseudomonadota; Betaproteobacteria; Burkholderiales; Oxalobacteraceae.